Molecule: long non-coding RNA, 7097 nt
Filed under: Canis lupus familiaris (dog)
Lineage: Eukaryota; Metazoa; Chordata; Mammalia; Carnivora; Canidae
Description: lncRNA (ENSCAFG00000052226.1)
Source: RNAcentral
UUUUUUUUUUUAUUUUCUACAAGGAACAUGUAUUACUCGUGGAAUAAUAAAUUAAGUUUUUGGCACAAAGCAAGACACAAGCAAUUAAAUAAGCUGACAGAUCAAUCGUGAGAGGAGGGCUACUUUUUCUGCUUCCACAUGACCACCAGCUGCAGAAUUCAGCAUUCUCCUCCAAUGGGUUGAGAGCAAACUCCUCGAUGUUUUUCUACAAAGGACAGAUUCUAGUCAACAAAUUAAUCAUAUUAGCCCUGAAAGUAAGUCUUUGGCCUACAGAGAAAUGAGACCGGCCUAAAAGAAAUCAGAGGAGACUAAAUGAAAAUCAGGAGACAGACUCGGAAGAAACGCAACACAAUCACCUGGCCCCUUGCACGUCUUAGCUCCAACCCUGCAUGGGAACUGCCGCCCGAGGGACAGCCAGGGCGGAUGGCUGGGGCCGUGAGGCUUCAGGAAGAUGUGAGGAGGUAAGGAUGGCAGCAGUGAGAAAGAGGUGGUACCGGGAGUACAGGUGCGAGAGGACAGCCCCUCCAGCUCCGUAAGAUGAGAAUAAGCUAGCUGACCAUCAAAGCCAAAGCUGAAGGUUGAGCUAAAGAGCAGCCGUUUGUCUCUGGCACGGAGGGCUACGGUUUCUGAGCUGGAAACGGGUGGCCAAAGGCCCCUCAUGCAAAUGAGGUCAGAGUCCCUACCUGAGCCAGAGAGGAGAUGAAGAUGCUACCAACCACCACAAGCUGAUGGCCCCCUUUCUGAGCAAAGUGGCCAGAUGGGGUUUCAUGACCAUAGGCGAGCAUGUUCUGUAGCAGGAGCCCUUCCCCCUGGCUUCAGCAGCCCAGACCAGGGCCCAGUGCCCAAAGCAAAGGCUGUUUUGCACAGUCUAGCCAGCACCCCAUGAUCACCACUACUAACUCAGUUCCCUCCUGGGGAGCAAGGAUGUGAGACCCGAGGCAAGUCAUCAGCAGGAAAGAAAAGCAGCAGAGGCAGGGAAAGGCACUUAUUACAUCCUGAGGUGUCCAAGACUCAUCUGCAAGAUGGCUGGUGCACCCCGAGGCACCUCACAGUUCUCCACAGGCUUGGCUUUUGCACAGCUGGGACUGCUUCCCGAGCCUCCUCCCCUCCCUGCCCCACUCUGGCCUGCACCCUGCUCUCCCACAGGAAGCAGAGAAAGCCUAAAAGCAAUCAGAACACUCUCCCAUGGCCACCUAACCUCAACGGCAGGCCCCCGGGCUCAGAGUGCUACAGAGGUGCGGCGGCGUUGGGUAAGAAGUGCCAGCCCACCACCCGCCUCCCGGUACUGAUAAUGUCAGGAUCAUGUUUUCGAGCCACUAGAAUGAAAACUCAUUCUGGCUUUCUUUCACAACAAAGACAGAUGAACCAUCUGAAAAGAGUUUCAUCGUAAUAAAUUUAUUUUAAUUUCCUUCAAACAUGAGAGAUCAAACAUAUACAGAUUUAUCUUCACUGCAAAGAAAAAGAGAUCCUGGGUAAUAUGCGAAUGUGUUCCUUCUGUGCCAUCCUGUGGCUUUAAAUAACAAAAAAGGAGGGUUUCAUGUUCAAAAAGACACUGUUCAAGUGACAAGGUCUCUUAAUACUUUUUCUGUUCCCCAAACACACUGCAAAUACUUCUGAGCAGCAUCUCUCACCCACUGGAGGCUACCAGUGCUGCUUAAAAAAAUCACAUAAGAUGAGCCAAUGAUUUUAAAGUUUUCACUCAUUUCUUUGGCUUAAUAGCCAUAAAUCAUACAUUAAAUCAGCAUCUGAUUUGAAUGUGAAAUUUUCCUUCAAUAUGCCAAGACAUGUCUGGUGGCCCUAUCAGGCAAGUCACUCACCAGGACUUGACAUGACAACAGAGGCUGUGGGGCGAGUGGGGCUGAAGACUGUCCUCUUCCCAGAGUCCAAGUAAACUCAUCUCUCGGGUAAUUCAGACCUUAGUGGUGGAUCAAUUCGUGAGCCCCAGUGGUGAUAACACUAAAACCAAUUCCCCUGCACAGACUGAGUCAUCAGACUAAAUAUUGCCACUUUAACACUUAGUGAGUAAGAAUUAGAAUGUCAGGGAAGAGCUUUCCAAGCAUUCAUCAUUCUCCUUUGCUUCCUCUAAGAUAUUCAUAUAACAACUCCCUAAGACCCACACCAAAUAAACUCACCAGACCGACAGCUUGGUGGAGCAAAUGUCGUGCACGUGAAUCACGCUCCAUCUAGACUAUAAUAUAUCUACCCUCCACUGUAAGGACAUGAUGAGGGCAGAGAUGGUGGGGGCUGGGGAAGGGGGGACAUGGAGGAGGUAAUGGGGCAGGUUAGACAAUACCCAAAGCAAAAAAUGGAUGUAACAACAGAAAACACAUUAAUGUAUUUGCUAUACCAGUGAAAUCAUGACAAUAGCUUCUGGGUACAUCUUCCUAAGCAGGUAAUGAAACAUCCCGUGUGUAUCUAGUAUGUGACUGUGAGCUCCUUAAAGACACUGUGGCUUAGGAAGAGGAACCCCAGAGGGGAAGACUGGGCAGCAUUGCCCAGUGGGAGAAAGUAGCCUAUUCGUGCUCACCUUAAAAUGAAGGCGCGUGACAUACGGCUCAGAAGUCUGAGUAGCUGCUGAGCCAGGACUAAGUCAAACUGCGAAACAUGUCAAGACAGUCCCUUGGCUUUUUACCCCUCUCCCACAGUCCCCAUGCAGACCACCUACUGGGAGGCCCCACCUCACGUUCCCCUCCCGGAGAGCACCUCCUGCUCCAGAACCAACUGUUGAGAGCAAGACCUUGGAAGUCAGAAAGACUCUGGGUUCAAAUCACAGCAUGACCACUUUCUGCGACUCCUCGGCUCCAUCAAGUAAGGCCUUAAACCUCCUUUCCCUGGGCAUAAAAUAGGGAUAUGAGACCAUCUCCAAAAGCUGCUGUGAUUUUUCACAAAAUAAAAACAAGCAAAAAAAUCAUGGUAGACUCCAAAAGUGUCUCUUCCUUUCACCCUCUGGGCCACUAGGCCCUUAGUUUCCAAGGUUAAUCUGAUGAAUUGAUCUGACAAAACCAGCAGCUACUUGGCUGGCUGAUCUUUAGCUACCUGCCUCCCCCAGAGAAGAGAGAGGCUGGAAAGGGAAAUUGGAUGGUGGAGGUGGGGUGAGAGCCCUGGCAGCCUGUCCCCCAGGUGGAUGCAGGCCAGCGUCAGCCAUCCUAUGGGGAAGGCUGGCUUCCCACGGUGAUCUCGUCAGGGCGACUUCCCCUCUGCCUGCUGCGGAACACAGCCUAAGACUGAAGAGGGCAGCACCACAGGCUCUUCUCAGAAGGGCACAUUGUGACAUUGGGUCAGCACGGAGUCAGAGGCACACCUGAAACUUAAAGCCCUUGCAGCCCAGAACCCAUGCUGCUCUGCCCAACUCUGCACCUGCAGGCACCCCUACUCAACUUCCAACAGGGGUCACUUUCUCAGGUACCAGGAUACAGGACUUGGAGUCACCUUUUGGGGGGGACCUAAUUCAAGUCUGCAGUGCCCAUCACACGGGGUUCUUCAGAUUGAAAGAAACAAUGCCUGGGGCAUGCUCUGAAUGGUAUUACUCCUGUGGUCAACAGUAACAGUCCAUGUUCCUAUCUUUCUCUGGUCUGCCAUCUUUCUCUUGUCUAGGAAGUCUUAUCGUCUUCCUGGUACCUUUUUCCAAAAAGGACUUGAGACAAUUCAGACCCCCUCUAGACUACAAACCCCUUAAGAUCAGGGACCAGGCUCAUUGGCAUCCACUUGCUAAGUGCCCCCAUUGAGUGUAGGGGAACAGUCUCAGCAGGGAGACCACAGGUUCCGAUGUCAGACAGACCCAAGCUUAGAACAUGGUUCUGCCACUUUCUCAGGGUAUAAUGCUGGAAAGUGAAGCAAUGUCUAGGUCUCACGUUAUCAUCUGAGGAGCAGAGGUAUUGCAGGAAAGUUAUGAACACCUCAGACAACACAUAGGUAGCCCAGUGUGGCCAGCAAGUAGUAUGUGCUCCAUAACUACUGUCACCUUAUUGGUGCUCAGCAACUGUUUGGCUCAAUAAAUAUCUGAUAACUAGAUAAAUGGAUAGCACCAGCCACUCCUCUCCCAACAGAGGCACCAGGUCACACUAAGUUAUGACACCCAGCCCUCAUUCCUGAGAUUGAACCCACAACCUCCCCUCGUCCACAGCCUCUAGGAAUGGACACCCCAACUGCAGAAUGACAAACUACUCCACUCAACCAUUUUUCAGGCAUUCACUGAACACAUGCCUUGCUAUGAAUCUACCAUGUGCCAAGCACCUCCUGGUGGUCUUGAACAGGGGUCAGCAAACAUUUUUCCAUAAAGGGCCAGAGAGUAAACAACUUGGGCUUUCUGGACCAUAUGGAUCCCACUGCCACCACUCAACUCUGCAUUACAGCAUGGCCAUGUUCCAGCACCACUUGAUUUAUAAAACCAGGUGUUGGGCAAUAGUCUGAGACCCCAACUUCUGAGGAUAUACAAAUGAGUAAGACUCAGUAGUCACGUGAUGAUGGACAAAACUCCCACAGAGAAGACAGGACAAGCUAAGAACAGAAGUCUCUCAUUCCCCCCUCAGGCUGAACUAGGUCCUACCUUGUCCACCCAGGACCAAUUAAAACUGCACCUAAAACCGAGGACAAACAGGAACAGUUAAGCCAAGACUCUCUGUCUGUAGCAUAGAGGAAAUAUUUAUAAUAUCAAUUCCAAUCAGCAUAUAGGAAGAGUCUGUUCACAACCACAUGACACAAGCACAGCAGACCCGCUCCCUCACAGGCCCACACCUAAUAGACAAGAGUUUCAGCUGCUGGGUGAAAGCAUGGUUCUAGCUGCUAACUGAAAAGACCACAAACCAUCCAAACCCAUGGAAUACACAGAAACCCAUGAAACACCGGCAUCCCUUCCAACGUUGAGCCAGGUUCUUCCUAUGUUCGUUGAUCUCUGUGUGCAAAGCGGGAGCUGCGGUUGAUGUCAUAAGAUACUGAAGAGCAAAGGCAAAGUCAUUCAAUGACAUUUUUAAAAAUGACUGUUUUUCUCAACUGUCCAGGGUUUGAAGGCCCAUGAUGACUCAGGCCAUCUUAUACCCUUGGAGACCACACGGUAUAAUGGCAUUUAAGGCUCCAAGCCCAUGGAUUUCCCUCCAGGUCUGCCCAGUGGCAUGUCAGCCACUCACCCCUUCCAGCUCUAUGCGGACAUGGACUUGGUUUCCAUGUCUGGGAGACACUCACACACAACACCAAACGUGACACCUCUGGAGCCUCUGCCAGGGCUGGUGAUGCUGCUCUGCAAAACCCUCUUGAGUGCUCAGCUACCUCUUCAAAACAGUCAGAAUUAAUUUUAGACAAACAUUUAAGAGAAAAGGAAAAUCUAUCUGGAGGACUUGCCAAUGCUCACAGCUGUGACAGUGACAAGAAAAGGGCGGCAGAAGACAGAACUCGCUGCAGACCAUUCACUUGUCAUCACAUACCAUCUCUGCACAAAUUGGCAUAAUUUAGGUAGGCAAGAAAAUAGGCCAACUACAGCAAAACACCUAAGGCUCAUUCCAAAGACCAAUCAAGACAGGAUGUAAAAGGGACAAAUAAAGCGCACUGCCGCACACUUCCUGAGAGAUGGGUUUUAUCAUAGUCUUAAAAAUGAUAAUCCAAGGAUCUCGGCCAUCUUUAAAAUAGUAUAGAAGCACCUCCAACUGUCACAUGCUCGACAGUCACCCAGGACUAGAAGGACCAAGAGCUUUCCAGAGUACCAGGACACUUUGCCCAGGUCCUGUCUGCCCCUGGGAAGCUUACGGCCUUCUCCUCUGGUAGGCACUGUCUCCCUCCGUGGUUCCUGCAUUUUCAUCCCUGUUCUCUAACACUGCUUGGACUUGCUUUAAGCUCUGAUGGCACAGUGAACGACUGAACCACCUUUCAUCAGGGUUCCAGGUGUCAAUGCUGAGAUGAAACAGAAGCUGGAGAAAACUCUGGCUUUGCUAAUGUCACAUGCAUGGUUCCAACACUGGACAAGCAAUCCCAAAGCUGGGGGCAAUGGAAAGAGGCCCCACUUAUGACCAUUACUAUGAGCCAAGGAUGUAUGGAGCACCACACAGCAGCAUCCCCACUUCUCACAUGUGGAGCCACAAUGCUGCAAGACGCAGGGCUGGUGCUCCAAUCCAGGCCUCUUAGAUGCCAAAAGUGCUGCUAAGGAAUGGACUGGAUGCAAGUCCCUGCGGGUUGGGCUAUAGAAUAAAGACCAGAUCAUCUUGGUUGACCACAUCAUCCAGGUUCCAACACAGCUUAGCAGUGCUGUGCUAACAGCCAAGAGCAGAUGAACUCUCAUUAAGGUUCACAUAGGGACAGACAGGUUCCAAGCAUGAAUGAUGCAUUUAUGGGAGAAAUCUUAAGCUAUAAAUGGUACCAACAAAUUCUGGAAUGUGAGAAUGUCAGGGAACCACUGCCUCAUCCUCCUCCACUCUCUGGCAUCCCACCCACCCAGAGGCAUGCACAUGGGCCAGGGCAUAUCUCCAUGUCCCCUUAAUUCCACACAGGACUUUACAUUCUUCCUUACUCUUGUACACAAUCCCACAUCUUUGUCCUGUGUUCUCUAUUAAGUUAGAGGAGAACCUUUCUCCUGUUCUCUCAACAAGGGACUCUGCAACCUGGGGGUACUUAGGGAUUUUCUAUUUAAUAAAAAAGGGCAAAAUACAAGACAAGUUGGCAGACAGAAAUCCCCUGUGGCCUGAGACAAGGUCACAGAGGAGUCAAUGUGAGGAAAUGAUGCUUGCCUGGAAGCUCUACAUAUCUAUAAGCAAAUAAAGGCCAUUUGUUCCCGUGACUGCUAACGCAAUGACCCCAGGGACCCAAAUAGCCUCCCGGCCUAACUCAUAUAUAUUUUUAAUGAAAAAUUGCAAAUUAGAUUAGCUUAAUUUGACCACAUCUGCCUUUUUAAACAAAGGAAAUUACCAUUUUAAUGGAAUGCCAGCUAUUUGUCUAAAGGAGAAAGGUCCUUGUGAGGUCUGCUUUGCCUGUUCUAUUUCCAUUUUUAAAAGAGAAAAAGAGGACUGCAGGGCAGAGGGCAGUUGGUCAGGCUUGAAAAACACACAGGAGUUGUGGCAAGCAUGACAAAGGGGCUUAGAAGCACCAGGGAAACCCCUACCUGCAGAGAUGUUCUC